AGAAUCAACGCUGGCGGCGUGCCUAACACAUGCAAGUCGCACGAGAAAGGGACUUCGGUCCUGAGUACAGUGGCGCACGGGUGAGUAACACGUGAAUAAUCUACCUCCGAGUGGGGAAUAACUGAGAGAAGUCUUAGCUAAUACCGCAUAACACUUACGAGUCAAAGCAGCAAUGCGCUUGGAGAGGAGUUCGCGGCAGAUUAGUUAGUUGGCGGGGUAAUGGCCCACCAAGACGAUGAUCUGUA
Molecule: ribosomal RNA, 245 nt
Filed under: uncultured bacterium
Lineage: Bacteria
Description: partial small subunit ribosomal RNA
Rfam family: Bacterial small subunit ribosomal RNA
Source: RNAcentral